RNAcentral lists this long non-coding RNA (351 nucleotides) under Stegodyphus dumicola. RNAcentral's name for it is "uncharacterized LOC118205982, transcript variant X1". Lineage: Eukaryota; Metazoa; Arthropoda; Arachnida; Araneae; Eresidae. The record is from RNAcentral.
GUUUGGGCUAUAAACUUUUUGAACUUCACUACCGAUGCAUAGAUAACUAUUCACCACUCAGAUGUCUCAAAGCUCAUCACGUGGAAACUGGCCACGCUCCUAGUACCUGAUAUCCUGCCUCCUGAGACCUACUUUCAGCAUUUCCCUACCUGAAUCAUAUCGAUAUCGGAUUCGACCGCUGAGCUCCGAGAGACGAGGUCGGAUUUUCUUACUCCUGGUUUUGUCGAGGAUUUCGUUAUUGCGAUAAGGAUAUUUGAAGUUCAAGAAUUGGAGACCUGGUGGAUUGGAGCACCUAGGUACCAACGAGGACAUCAAGUCUAUCUUCUCCAGAACUGGCAAAGUCUUCAAACU